AAACUUUCAACAACGGAUCUCUUGGCUCUGGCAUCGAUGAAGAACGCAGCGAAAUGCGAUAAGUAAUGAGAAUUGCAGAAUUUAGUGAAUCAUAGAAUCUUUGAACGCACAUUGCGCCCCUUGGUAUUCCGAGGGGCAUGCCUGUUCGAGCGUCAAAACAACCCCUCAAGUCGUUCUGGCUUGGUCUUGGGGUCCGCCCGGGACAGCGUGGCGGCCCUUAAAUCUA
RNAcentral lists this ribosomal RNA (226 nucleotides) under Phyllactinia moricola. Its description in RNAcentral is "5.8S ribosomal RNA". The stretch from base 2 to 155 matches the Rfam family "5.8S ribosomal RNA". Rfam says of the family: 5.8S ribosomal RNA (5.8S rRNA) is a component of the large subunit of the eukaryotic ribosome. It is transcribed by RNA polymerase I as part of the 45S precursor that also contains 18S and 28S rRNA. Functionally, it is thought that 5.8S rRNA may be involved in ribosome translocation. The record is from RNAcentral. Lineage: Eukaryota; Fungi; Ascomycota; Leotiomycetes; Helotiales; Erysiphaceae.